GCCCUGAUGGUCUAGCGGUAUGAUUCUCCCUUAGGGUUGUCGUCACGACACCUCACAUCUGGGAGAGGUCCCAGGUUCGAUCCCUGGUUAGGGCC
Non-coding RNA from Colletotrichum sp. SAR11_59, 95 nucleotides. NCBI's taxonomy places the organism in Eukaryota, Fungi, Ascomycota, Sordariomycetes, Glomerellales, Glomerellaceae. The record is from the annotation of a GenBank genome assembly.